GUUUUGUUAUAAAUUAUUUGUAUUGCUAUAUUUUAUAUUAUGUAUUAUCUAUACUGUGGAGAUGUUAGCAAACGAUGAUGAAAGCAUAAGGCAAUGUUUCGCAAAUGUUGUAAAAUCAUGCAGUAAACAUAAGAAUUCAAAAAAGCGUCAUACUUGUGUGG
Ceratosolen solmsi marchali is the source of this 161-nucleotide long non-coding RNA. RefSeq lists it as uncharacterized. The transcript has 2 exons. Lineage: Eukaryota; Metazoa; Arthropoda; Insecta; Hymenoptera; Agaonidae. The record is from RefSeq and is a predicted model, not a curated record.